ACAUGGGACCAGCAUAAAUCCUUUGUUCUAAUGGGCUGAAAACAAUAACAGAUAAAGUACAAGUCGACCAAAAUGUGAAAUCUAUCAAAAGAGCAAAUGAGAUUAUAUAGUACACUGAAACACAACGUACCAACUCAAAUUUAUGAGUGUUUAUGCACAUAGAGCAUAUUGUUGCCCACUAUAGAGAAUGAAAACAAAGAUGUACACCAAGACAUUAAAGAGUUAAAUAGAAAUAAUAUACUGUCAAAAUGAUCCUGCAAAAUCAGUAUACAAAUUCUAGAAUUAAUCACAUAGAUACUGUAUUAGUGUUGAUCCUAAUUUGCAUUACAACUAACACGUCAAGUACAGGUAGAGGAAAUAAUGUCCUGCUGAUAGGUUCUGUGAUUGACCCAAUGACUAAUUGUGGUUCUAGUCAAGAGGUAGAUCAAGGCAUAUCCCAUCAGUAGUUGGGAGAUGAACAGCAUGGAGGCCAUGGAUCAAAAUAGUGAAAUGGAUCAAAACUAUGGGCGUGGACAUGGAGAUUUGGAGAUGUAGAAUGCCCGUGCGUUGCCACAUGCAUUUUAAAAGUCUUCCUAGUUCAUCAUGAUCAUGUUCUACGGGACAAAAAUUCCGAUGUUUAUGGAUAUAUGAUAUUCCUCAUUGCAAUUAAUAUCACUAAAUUUCUCGAUCCACCAAACUGUACAAAAGUAAAUGAAUCUGAGUUGAGUGGAAUACGGAUCGAUCAAAUGAAUGAACAAACAAAUCGCGCACAUGUCGUUCAUUAGUUCUUCUCCGCCAGAAAAUGGAACCCAAUACGUUGUUGCUGCAAUAUUUCAUUGGUCCUCGGAACCCAUGAGCCUCCUCGCUAGUGCUAAGGAACCCUGUUUGGCCAUCACUUCCGCCGCCAGCUUUAACAUCACCACUUACAUGUCUCCGCUAGCUCUGCCAUGGUGCCAUGUCCACCAUCUUUCACUUUAUCGUACUCCCUCCGUCCCAAAAUUCUUGUCUUAGAUUUGUCUAGAUACGGAUGUAUCUCAGAUACAUCCGUAUCUAGACAAAUCUAAGACAAGAAUUUUGGGACGGAGGGAAUACAUUACUCACGUAACAUAAGUUCUAUUGUUCAAGCAUGCAUACCAUUCGUUAGAUCUAGUACAUCCAAGCAGUUGCGAUCCACCACUUUUCACAAUCCCCUCCCUCCGCGAGACGUCUCCUGCACUGCAUCAAAGACACUCCCACAUGCCCUCGUCCAAUGUAGGUUGUUGCCCCUGAGAGGCCUCCCUCACCUGCCAUAGAUCUCGCUGCAAGUCGCACCUCCCCAUGACCAAACUCCAUCAGAUAUACAAACACAUGCAGACAUGCUACACCUCGGUUACUAUGCUAGACGUGCAUAUAGUACGCUAAAUAUUUUGUUUCUAGUAUUUCCUUAUUUCUUUUGUAAAAAUAUUUGAAGCACCAUUAGAACACAAGAUAAAAUCCAAUAUAUCAAAUAUGUUAAAAUCCAGUAAAUAAUGUCAUUAAAGUAUAUACAAAUUUGCACUUCCAAUACACUGAACGAAAAAUGUACAUACAUCAACAUUCACUACCGCUUUCAACAAUGCUAGAACAUGAUCACUUGUUCGUCUUUCAGCAGACAAUCUUUGAGACCACUGGCGACCGGGGAGCUGCUGGAGAUCGCUCCUCAACUGGCUUAGCUGUUUGUUCAUCUAAAAAAGAAAAAGGGUUACCUUUCCGUUAAUUUUAGUCUUGCAGUUACAGUCCCACAAGUAUUUGUCACCUAUAUUUUCUCGUUUUUUUCAGUACCUUGUUUCAUAAUUAUCCUAUGUAUUUUCUUGAAGAGUGCAGGCUUAUUCUACACCAAUUCCCCUCCAUCCUCGAGUUACCUGGCCACCAUAGCUCCUCUCCUCCCUCUUGCCGCUCCAUGUGCUAGCGUUGAAAAUGCCAAAUUAUAUCGUGUCGUAUGUAGGUCUGAUAAUAACACAAAUACCUAAAAGCAAAGAAGAAAACCAAAGUGAAAUUGCUGGGAAAAUGUCAAGAAAUCACACACUGCUAGAUGAAUCAUAAGAAUAUAUGUACCCCAUUAUGUCUCAAAUCAUCAUAAUAUAGUGAUAGGUGAUGUAUAGGGAGAUAAAAGUCAUUGGCAAUAAUUAAUAAUCCUUACUGGUUAAAGAAAGAAAUUUUUAUGUUUAUGUGAUGUGAAGAAGAACUGAAGUCAUAUCAUCUCCUCUGCAUAACCAACUACUGGGUAGUGCUCUCUUUUCUAAGCUUGAUUAUCACAGGUUAAUCACUUGGGUGUUAUACUGCAAAGAAUUUUUUAUGCCUACGAGCUUGAGGUCCCAUCCCUGAUGACAGUCAAAUCCACUCAUUUCUUCUUAUAUCCCAUGGUUGUCGUGCAUCCUAAGUUCUGCCAUGAGGGCACUUGGUGUCGCGCCGCCAGGUAAACUGGAGGACUUGCACCACACUGGCGCGGCCCAUGUCUUCACGUCGACUGACGGAGAAGUGGUCGUUUGGGAGGUUACGUGUGAGGUGAAGCUUGCACUGCAAGAAAUCAAGAAAUGCCAUUUUUACAAGAAAUUCGUGAGUGGAUCCUUAGUUUUGCUUUGCAUUAGUAAUUGUUCAGCAUGUCUGUUGGGGAACGUAGCAGAAAUUCAAAAUUUUCCUACGUGUCACCAAGAUCUAUCUAUGGAGAGACCAGCAACGAGUAGAAAGAGAGUGCAUCUACAUACCCUUGUAGAUCGCUAAGUGGAAGCGUUCAAGUGAACGGGGUUGAUGGAGUCGUACUCGUCGUGAUUCAAGUCACCGAUGAUCCUAGUGCUGAACGGACGGCACCUCCGCGUUCAACACACGUACAGCCCGGUGACGUCUCCCACGCCUUGAUCCAGCAAGGAGAGAGGGAGAGGUUGAGGAAGACUCCAUCCAACAGCAGCACAACGGCGUGGUGGUGGUGGAGGAGCGUGGCAAUCCAGCAGGGCUUCGCCAAGCACCAUCGGAGAGAAGGAGUAGGAAGAGAGGUAGGGCUGUGCCAGAACUUCGUGUAUAGCUCCCAUGCGCCUCCCCACUAUAUAUAGGGGUGGAAGGGCUGGUUUCUUGCCCUCCAAGUCCAUUGGGGCGUUGGCCAAGGUGGGAGGAAAGAAAUCUCAUUAUUUCCUUCCCCACCGAUUGUUAUCCCCCCUUUUUAGGGAUCUUGAUCUUAUCCCUUCGGGAUAUGAUCUUAUUCCUUCUAAGGGGGGAUCUUGGUGCGCCUUGACCAGGGGUGUGGGGCCUUGCCCCCACUACCCACGUCCAUGUGGGUCCCCUCAUGCAGGUGGGCCCCACUCCGGAACCUUCUAGAACCUUCCCGGUACAAUACCGAAAAAUCCCGAACAUUUUCCGGUGGCCAAAAUAGGACUUCCCAUAUAUAAAUCUUUACCUCCGGACCAUUCCGGAACUCCUCGUGACGUCCGGGAUCUCAUCCGGGACUCCGAACAACAUUCGGUAACCACAUACAAACUUCCUUUAUAACCCUAGCGUCAUCGAACCUUAAGUGUGUAGACCCUACGGGUUCGGGAGACAUGUAGACAUGACCGAGACGUUCUCCGGUUAAUAACCAACAGCGGGAUCUGGAUACCCAUGAUGUCUCCCACAUGUUCCACGAUGAUCUCAUCGGAUGAACCACGAUGUCAAGGACUUAAUCAAUCCCGUAUUCAAUUCCCUUUGUCUAUCGGUAUGUUACUUGCCCGAGAUUCGGUCGUCGGUAUCCAAUACCUUGUUCAAUCUCGUUACCGGCAAGUCACUUUACUCGUUCCGUAACACAUCAUCCCUGAUCAACUCCUUGGUCACAUUGCGCAUAUGAUGAUGUCCUACCGAGUGGGCCCAGAGAUACCUCUCCGUUUACACGGAGUGACAAAUCCCAGUCUCGAUCCGCAUAAAACAAUAGAUACUUUCGGAGAUACCUGUAGUGCACCUUUAUAGUCACCCAGUUACGUUGUGACGUUUGAUACACCCAAAGCACUCCUACGGUAUCCAGGAGUUACACGCUCUCAUGGUCGAAGGAAGAGAUACUUGACAUUGGCAAAGCUCUAGCAAAUGAACUACACGAUCUUUUGUGCUAGUCUUAGGAUUGGGUCUUGUCCAUCACGUCAUUCUCCUAAUGAUGUGAUCCGGUUAUCAACGACAUCCAAUGUCCAUAGCCAGGAAACCAUGACUAUCUGUUGAUCACAACGAGCUAGUCAACUAGAGGCUCACUAGGGACAUAUUGUGGUCUAUGUAUUCACACGUGUAUUACGAUUUCCGGAUAAUACAAUUAUAGCAUGAAUAAAAGACAAUUAUCAUGAACAAGGAAAUAUAAUAAUAAUACUUUUAUUAUUGCCUCUAGGGCAUAUUUCCAACAGUCUCCCACUUGCACUAGAGUCAAUAAUCUAGUUCACAUCGCCAUGUGAUUAACACUCACAGGUCACAUCGCCAUGUGACUAAUACCCAAGAGUUUACUAGAGUCAGUAGUCUAGUUCACAUCACUAUGUGAUUAACACUCAAUGAGUUUUAUGUUUGAUCAUGUUGCUUGUGAGAGAGGUUUUAGUCAACGGGUCUGAACCUUUUAGAUCCGUGUGUGCUUUACAAAUCUCUAUGUCAUCUCCUAGAUGCAGCUACUAUGCUCUAUUUGGAGCUAUUCCAAACAACUGUUCUACUUGGAGCUAUUCUAAAUUAUUGCUCCAUUAUAUGUAUCCGGUCUCUCUACUCAGAGCUAUCCGGAUAGGUGUCAAGCUUGCAUCGUCGUAACCUUUACGACAAACUCUUUUACCACCUCCAUAAUCGAGAAAAUUCCUUAGUCCACUAGUUACUAAGGAUAACUUUGACCGCUGUCCUGUGAGCCAUUCUUGGAUCACUCUUGUACCCCUUGAUUGACUCAUGGCAAGGCACACUUCAGGUGCGGUACACAACAUAGCAUACUGAAGAGCCUACGUCUUAAGCAUAGGGGACGACCUUCGUCCUUUCUCUCUAUUUUGCCGUGGUCGAGCUUUAAGUCUUAACUUCGUACCUUACAACUCAGGCAAGAACUCCUUCUUUGACUGGUCCAUCUUGAACACCUUCAAGAUCAUGUCAAGGUAUGUGCUCAUUUGAAAGUAUUAUUAAGCAUUUUGAUCUAUCCUUAUAGAUCUUGAUGCUCAAUGUUCAAGUAGCUUAAUCCAGGCUUUCCAUUGAAAAACACUUUCAAAAUAACCCUAUAUGCUUUCCAGAAAUUCUACGUCAUUUCUGAUCAACAAUAUGUCAACAACAUAUACUCAUCAGAAAUUCUAUAGUGCUCCCACUCACUUCUUUGGAAAUACAAGUUUCCCAUAAACUUUGUACAAACCCAAAUUUUUUGAUCAUCAUCAAAGCAUAGGUUCCAACUCCGAGAUGCUCACUCCAGUCCUUAGAAGGAUUGCUGGAGCUUUGCAUACUUAUUAGCAUCUUUCGGGAUUGACAAAACCUUCCGGUUGUAUCACAUACAACCUUUCCUCAUUAAAAUCGUCGAGGAAACAAUGUUUUGACAUCCUAUCUGCAAGAUUUCAUAAAUAAUGCAGUAAUCGCUAAUAUAAUUCCAACAGACUCUUAGCAUCGCUACGAGUGAGAAAAUCUCAUCGUAGUCAACUCCUUGAACUUGUCGGAAAACAUCUUAACGACAAGUCGAGCUUUCUUAAUGGUGACAUUUACCAUCAUUGUCCGUCUUCCUUUUGAAAUCCAUCUGUACUCAUUAGCCUUACGACCAUCGAGCCGUUCUGCCAAAGUCUACACUUUGUUUUCAUACAUGGAUCCUCUCUCGGAUUUUAUGGCCUCAAGCCAUUUAUCGGAAUCCGGGCCCACCAUCGCUUCUCCAUAGCUCGUAGGUUCAUUGUUGUCUAGCAACAUGACCUUCAAGACAGGAUUACGUACCACUCUGAAGUAGUACGCAUCAUUGUCAUCCUACGAGGUUUGGGAGUGACUUGAUCUGAAGUUUCAUGAUCAAUAUCAUAAGCUUCCACUUCAAUUGGUGUAGGUGCCACAGGAACAACUCCCUAUGCCCUGUCACACUAGUUGAAGAGACGGUUCAAUAACCUCAUCAAGUCUCCACCAUCCUCCCACUCAAUUCUUUCGAGAGAAACUUUUCCUCGAGAAAGGACCCGAUUCUAGAAACAAUCCAUAUUGCUUUCGGAUCUGAAUUAGGAGGUAUACCCAACUGUUUUGGGUUUCCUAUGAAGAUGCAUUUUAUCCGCUUUGGGUUCGAGCUUAUCAACCUGAAACUUUUUCAUAUAAGCGUCGCAGCCCCAAACUUUUAAGAAACGACAACUUAGGUUUCUCUAAACCAUAAUUCAUACGGUGUCAUCUCAUCGGAAUUACGUGGUGCCCUAUUUAAAGUGAAUGUGGUUGUCUCUAAUGCCUAACCCAUGAACGAUAGUGGUAAUUCGAUAAGAGACAUCAUGGUACGCGCCAUAUCCAAUAGGGUGCAACUAUGAUGUUCGGACACACCAUCACAUUAUGGUGUUCCAGGCGGUAUUAAUUGCGAAACAAUUUCCACAAUGUCUUAAUUGUGUGCCAAAACUCGUAACUCAGAUAUUCAUCUCUAUGAUCAUAUCAUAGACAUUUUAUCCUCUUGUCACAAUGAUCUGCUACUUCACUCUGAAAUUACUUGAACCAUUCAAUAAUUCAGACUUGUGUUUCAUCAAGUAAAUAUACUCAACAUUUACUCGAAUCAUCGGUGAAGUAAGAACAUAAUGAUAUUCACUGCAUGCCUCAGCACUCAUUCGACUGCACACAUCAAAAUGUGUUACUUCCAACAAGUUGCUAUCUUGUUCCAUCUUACUGAAAAUGAGGCUUUUCAGUCAUCUUGCCCAUGUGGUAUGAUUUGCAUAUCUCAAGUGAUUCAAAUUCAAGUGAGUCCGAACGAUCCAUUUGCAUGGAGUUUCUUCAUGCAUAUACACCAAUAGACAUGGUUCGCAUGUCUCAAACUUUUCAAAAACGAGUGAGUCCAAAGAUCCAUCAACAUGGAGCUUCUUCAUGCGUUUUAUACCAUUAUGACUUACAUGGCAGUGCCACAAGUAAGUGGUACUAUCAUUACUAUCUUAUAUCUUUUGGCAUGAAAAUGUGUAUCACUACGACCGAGAUUCAAUAAACAAUUCCUUUAGGUGCAAGACCAUUGAAGGUAUUAUUCAAAAAUAGAGUAACCAUUAUUCUCCUUAAAUGAAUAACCGUAUUGCGAUAGACAUAAUCCAAUCAUGUCUAUGCUCAACGCAAACACCAAUCUCGGUGGUAGAGGGAGCGUGCGAUGCUUGAUCAUAUCAACCUUGGAAACACUUCCAACAUAUAUCGUCAGCUCACCUUUAGCUAGUCUCCGUUUAUUCCGUAGCUUUUAUUUCGAGUUACUAACACUUAGCAACCGAACCGGUAUCCAAUACCCUGGUGCUACUAGGAGUACUAGUAAAGUACACAUUAACAUAAUGUAUAUCCAAUAUACUUCUAUCGACCUUGCCAGUCUUCUCAUCUACCAAGUAUCUAGGGUAAUGCUGCUCCAGUGGUUGUUCCCCUUAUUACAGAAGCACUUAGUCUCGGGUUUGGGUUCAACCUUGGGUUUCUUCACUAGAGCAGCAGCUGAAUUGCCGUUUCAUGAAGUAUCCCUUUGUUCCCUUGCCCUUCUUGAAACUAGUGGUUUCACCAACCAUCAACAAUUGAUGCUCCUUCUUGAUUUCUACUUUCGCGGUGUCAAACAUCAUGAAUAUUUCAAGGAUCAUCAUAUCUAUCCCUGAUAUGUUAUAGUUAAUCACGAAGCUCUAGCAGCUUGGUGGCAAUGACUUUGGGGAAACAUCACUAUCUCAUCUGGAGGAUCAACUCCCACUCGAUUCAAGUGAUUGUUGUGCUCAGACAAUCUGAGCACAAGCUCAACGAUUGAGCUUUUCUCCCUUAGUUUGCAGGCUAAGAAAAUCGUCGGAGGUCUUAUACCUCUUGACGUGGGCACGAGCCUGAAAUCCCAAUUUCAGCCCUCAAAACAUCUCAUAUGUUCCGCGACGUUUCGAAAACGUCUUUGGUGUCUCUACUUAAACCAUUUAACUGAACUAUCACGUAGUUAUCAAAACGUGUAUGUUCGAUGUUCGAAACAUCCACAAACGACGUUUGGGGUUCAGCACACUGAGCAGUGCAUUAAGGACAUAAGCUUUCUACUGUUCGCAUAAUCGCUACUAUCAACUUUCAACUAUAUUUUCUCUAGGAACAUAUCUAAACAGUGGAACUAAAGCACGAGCUUACGACAUAAUUUGCAAAAGGUCUUUUGACUAUGUUCAGGAUAAUUAAGUUCAUCUUAUGAACUCCCACUUAGAUAGACAUCCCUCUGGUCAUCUAAGUGAUCACAUGAUCCGAGUCAACUAGGCCGUGUCCGAUCAUCACGUGAGACGGACUAGUCAUCAUCGGUGAACAUCUUCAUGUUGAUCGUAUCUACCAUACGACUCAUGCUCGACCUUUCGGUCUCCGUGUUCCGAGGCCAUGUCUGCACAUGCUAGGCUCGUCAAGUUAACCCUAAGUGUUUUCGCUGUGUAAAACUGUCUUACACCCGUUGUAUGUGAACAUAAGAAUCCAUCACACCCGAUCAUCACGUGGUGCUUAGAAGCGACGAACUGUAGCAACGGUGCACAGUUAGGGGAGAACACUUCUUGAAAUUUUGUAAGGGAUCAUCUUAUUUACUACCGUCGUCCUAAGCAAACAAGAUGCAUAAACAUGAUAAACAUCACAUGCAAUCAAAUAGUGACAUGAUAUGGCCAAUAUCAUUUUGCUCCUUUUGAUCUUCAUCUUCGGGGCUCCAUGAUCAUCAUCGUCACCGGCACGACACCAUGAUCUCCAUCAUCAUGAUCUCCAUCAUCGUGUCUUCAUGAAGUUGUCACGCCAACGACUACUUCUACUUCUAUGACUAACGCGUUUAGCAAUAAAGUAAAAUAGUUUACAUGGCGUUCUUGAAUGACACGCAGGUCAUACAAUAAAUAAAGACAACUCCUAUGGCUCCUGCCGGUUGUCAUACUCAUCGACAUGCAAGUCGUGAAUCCUAUUACAAGAACAUGAUCAAUCUCAUACAUCACAUAUCAUUCAUCACAUUCUUCUUGGCCAUAUCACAUCACAUAGCAUACCCUGCAAAAACAAGUUAGACGUCCUCUAAUUGUUGUUGCAUGUUUUACGUGGCUGCUAUGGGUUUCUAGCAAGAACGUUUCUUACCUACGCAAGACCACAACGUGAUAUGCCAAUUGCUAUUUACCCUUCAUAAGGACCCUUUUCAUCGAAUCCGUUCCGACUAAAGUGGGAGAGACUGGCACCCGCUAGCCACCUUAUGCACCAAGUGCAUGUCAAUCGGUGGAACCUCUCUCACGUAAGAGUACGUGUAAGGUCGGUCCGGGCCGCUUCAUCCCACAAUACCGUCGAAACAAGAUUGGACUAGUAACGGUAAGCAUAUUGAACAACAUCAACGCCCACAACUACUUUGUGUUCUACUCGUGCAAAGAAUCUACGCAAUAGACCUAGCUCUGAUACCACUGUUGGGGAACGUAGCAGAAAUUCAAAAUUUUCCUACGUGUCACCAAGAUCUAUCUAUGGAGAGACCAGCAACGAGUAGAAAGAGAGUGCAUCUACAUACCCUUGUAGAUCGCUAAGCGGAAGCGUUCAAGUGAACAGGGUUGAUGGAGUCAUACUCGUCGUGAUUCAAGUCACCGAUGAUCCUAGUGCCGAACGGACGGUGUUGGGGAACGUAGCAGAAAUUCAAAAUUUUCCUACGCGUCACCAAGAUCUAUCUAUGGAGAAACCAGCAACGAGUAGAAAGAGAGUGCAUCUACAUACCCUUCUAGAUCGCUAAGCGGAAGCGUUCAAGUGAACGGGGUUGAUGGAGUCGUACUCGUCGUGAUUCAGAUCACCGAUGAUCCUAGUGCCGAACGGACGGCACCUCCGCGUUCAACACACGUACAGCUCGACGAUGUCUCCCACGCCUUGAUCCAGCAAGGAGAGAGGGAGAGGUUGAGGAAGACUCCAUCCAGCAGCAGCACAACGGCGUGGUGGUGAUGGAGGAGCGUGGCAAUCCUGCAGGGCUUCGCCAAGCACCUACGGGAGAGGAGGAGGUGUCACGGGAGGGAGGGAGGCGCCAAGGGCUCAGGUAUGGAUGCCCUCCCUCCCCUCCACUAUAUAUAGGGGCAGGGGAGAGGGGGAAGGCGCAGCCUUGCCCCUUCCUCCAAGGAAGGGGUGCGGCUAAGAGGGGGGGAGGAGUCCAUCCUCCCCAAGGCACCUCGGAGGUGCCUUCCCCCUUGAGGACUCUUCCCUCUAGGGUUCCCUAGGCGCAUGGGCCUCUUGGGGCUGGUGCCCUUGGCCCAUGUAGGCCAAGGCGCACCCCCUACAGCCCAUGUGGCCCCCCGGGGCAGGUGGCCCCACCCGGUGGGCCCCCGGGACCCUUCCGGUGGUCCCGGUACAAUACCGAUGACCCCGAAACUUGUCCCGAUGGCCGAAACAGGACUUCCUAUAUAUAAAUCUUUACCUCCGGACCAUUCCGGAACUCCUCGUGACGUCCGGGAUCUCAUCCGGGACUCCGAACAACAUUCGGUAACCACAUACAAACUUCCUUUAUAACCCUAGCGUCAUCGAACCUUAAGUGUGUAGACCCUACGGGUUUGGGAGACAUGCAGACAUGACCGAGAUGUUCUCCGGUCAAUAACCAACAGCGGGAUCUGGAUACCCAUGUUGGCUCCCACAUGUUCCACGAUGAUCUCAUCGGAUGAACCACGAUGUCAAGGACUCAAUCGAUCCCGUAUACAAUUCCCUUUGUCUAGCGGUAUGGUACUUGCCCGAGAUUCGAUCGUCGGUAUACCGAUACCUUGUUCAAUCUCGUUACCGGCAAGUCUCUUUACUCGUUCCGUAACACAUCAUCCCGUGAUCAACCCCUUGGUCACAUUGUGCACAUUAUGAUGAUGUCCUACCGAGUGGGCCCAGAGAUACCUCUCCGUUUACACGGAGUGACAAAUCCCAAUCUCGAUUCGUGCCAACCCAACAGACACUUUCAGAGAUACCCGUAGUGUACCUUUAUAGCCACCCAGUUACGUUGUGACGUUUGGCACACCCAAAGCACUCCUACGGUAUCCGGGAGUUGCACAAUCUCAUGGUCUAAGGAAAUGAUACUUGACAUUAGAAAAGCUUUAGCAUACAAACUACAUGAUCUUGUGCUAGGCUUAGGAUUGGGUCUUGUCCAUCACAUCAUUCUCCUAAUGAUGUGAUCCCGUUAUCAACGACAUCCAAUGUCCAUGGUCAGGAAACCGUAACCAUCUAUUGAUUAAUGAGCUAGUCAACUAGAGGCUUACUAGGGACAUGGUGUUGUCUAUGUAUCCACACAUGUAUCUGAGUUUCCUAUCAAUACAAUUCUAGCAUGGAUAAUAAACGAUUAUCAUGAACAAGGAAAUAUAAUAAUAAUCAAUUUAUUAUUGCCUCUAGGGCAUAUUUCCAACAGUCUCCCACUUGCACUAGAGUCAAUAAUCUAGUUCACAUCGAUAUGUGAUUAACACUCAAGGUCACAUCCCCAUGUGACUAAUACCCAAAGAGUUUACUAGAGUCAAUAAUCUAGUUCACAUUUACCAUGUGAUUAACACUCGAUGAGUUCUGGGUUUGAUCAUGUUAUGCUUGUGAGAGAGGUUAUAGUCAACGGGUCUGAACCUUUCAGAUCCGUGUGUGCUUUACAAAUCUCUAUGUCAUCUCCUAGAUGCAGCUACCACGUUCUAUUUGGAACUAUUCCAAAUAACUGUUCUACUUGGAGCUAUUCUAAAUUGUUGCUCCAUUAUACGUAUCCGGUAUCUCUACUCAGAGCUAUCCGGAUAGGUGUUAAGCUUGCAUCGACGUAACCCUUUACGACGAACUCUUUUACCACCUCCAUAAUUGAGAAAAUUCCUUAGUCCACUAGUUACUAAGGAUAACUUUGACCGCUGUCCUGUGAUCCAUUCUUGGAUCACUCUUGUACCCCUUGACUGACUCAUGGUAAAGCACACUUCAGGUGCGGUACACAGCAUAGCAUACUGUAGAGCCUAUGUCUUAAGCAUAGGGGACGACCUUCGUUCCUUUCUCUCUAUUCUGCCAUGGUCGAGCUUUAAGUCUUAACUUCAUACCUUACAACUCAGGCAAGAACUCCUUCUUUGACUGAUCCAUCUUGAACACCUUCAAGAUCACGUCAAGGCAUGUGCUCACGUCAAGAUCACGUCGGUAUACCGAUACCUUGUUCAAUCUCGUUACCGGCAAGUCUCUUUACUCGUUCCGUAACACAUCAUCCCGUGAUCAACCCCUUGGUCACAUUGUGCACAUUAUGAUGAUGUCCUACCGAGUGGGCCCAGAGAUACCUCUCCGUUUACACGGAGUGACAAAAUCCCAAUCUCGAUUCGUGCCAACCCAACAGACACUUUCAGAGAUACCCGUAGUGUACCUUUAUAGCCACCCAGUUACGUUGUGACGUUUGGCACACCCAAAGCACUCCUACGGUAUCCGGGAGUUGCACAAUCUCAUGGUCUAAGGAAAUGAUACUUGACAUUAGAAAAGCUUUAGCAUACGAACUACAUGAUCUUGUGCUAGGCUUAGGAUUGGGUCUUGUCCAUCACAUCAUUCUCCUAAUGAUGUGAUCCCGUUAUCAACGACAUCCAAUGUCCAUGGUCAGGAAACCGUAACCAUCUAUUGAUUAACGAGCUAGUCAACUAGAGGCUUACUAGGGACAUGGUGUUGUCUAUGUAUCCACACAUGUAUCUGAGUUUCCUGUCAAUACAAUUCUAGCAUGGAUAAUAAACGAUUAUCAUGAACAAGGAAAUAUAAUAAUAAUCAAUUUAUUAUUGCCUCUAGGGCAUAUUUCCAACAGUCUCCCACUUGCACUAGAGUCAAUAAUCUAGUUCACAUCGAUAUGUGAUUAACACUCAAGGUCACAUCCCCAUGUGACUAACACCCAAAGAGUUUACUAGAGUCAAUAAUCUAGUUCACAUUUACCAUGUGAUUAACACUCGAUGAGUUCUGGGUUUGAUCAUGUUAUGCUUGUGAGAGAGGUUAUAGUCAACGGGUCUGAACCUUUCAGAUCCGUGUGUGCUUUACAAAUCUCUAUGUCAUCUCCUAGAUGCAGCUACCACGUUCUAUUUGGAGCUAUUCCAAAUAACUGUUCUACUUGGAGCUAUUCUAAAUUGUUGCUCCAUUAUACGUAUCCGGUCUCUCUACUCAGAGCUAUCCGGAUAGGUGUUAAGCUUGCAUCGACGUAACCCUUUACGACGAACUCUUUUACCACCUCCAUAAUUGAGAAAAUUCCUUAGUCCACUAGUUACUAAGGAUAACUUUGACCGCUGUCCUGUGAUCCAUUCUUGGAUCACUCUUGUACCCCUUGACUGACUCAUGGUAAAGCACACUUCAGGUGCGGUACACAGCAUAGCAUACUGUAGAGCCUAUGUCUUAAGCAUAGGGGACGACCUUCAUUCCUUUCUCUCUUUUCUGCCAUGGUCGAGCUUUAAGUCUUCACUUCAUACCUUACAACUCAGGCAAGAACUCCUUCUUUGACUGAUCCAUCUUGAACACCUUCAAGAUCACGUCAAGGCAUGUGCUCAUUUGAAAGUACUAUUAAGCGUUUUGAUCUAUCCUUAUAGAUCUUGAUGCUCAAUGUUCAAGUAGCUUAAUCCAGGUUUUCCAUUGAAAACACUUUCCAAAUAACCCUAUAUGCUUUCCAGAAAUUCUACGUCAUCUCCGAUCAUUAAUAUGUCAACAACAUAUACUCAUCAGAAAUUCUAUAGUGCUCCCACUCACUUCUUUGGAAAUACAAGUUUCUCAUAAACUUUGUAUACACCCAAAAUCUUUGAUCAUCAUCAAAGCAUACAUUCCAACUCCGAGAUGCUCACUCCAGUCCUCAGAAGGAUUGCUGGAGCUUUGCAUACUUAUUAGCAUAUUUCAGGAUAGACAAAACCUUCCGGUUGUAUCACAUACAACCUUUCCUCAAGAAUCGUUGAGGAAAGAAUGUUUUGACAUCCUAUCUGCAAGAUUUCAUAAAUAAUGCAGUAAUCGCUAAUAUAAUUCCAACAGACUCUUAGCAUCGCUACGAGUGAGAAAGUCUCAUCGUAGUCAACUCCUUGAACUUGUCGAAAAACAUCUUAACGACAAGUCGAGCUUUCUCAAUGGUGACACUUACCAUCAUUGUCUGUCUUCCUUUCAAAAUCCAUAUGUACCUAACAGCCUUACGACCAUCAAGUAGUUCUUCUAAAGUCUACACUUUGUUUUCAUACAUGGAUCCUCUCUCGGGUUUUAUGGCCUUGAGCCAUUUAUCGGAAUCCGGGCCCACCAUCUCUUCUCCAUAGCUCGUAGGUUCAUUGUUGUCUAGCAACAUGACUUCCAAGACAGGAUUACUGUACUACUCUGAAGUAGUACGUAUCCUUGUCACCCUAUGAGGUUCGGUAGUGACUUGAUCCGAAACUUCAUGAUCACCAUCAUAAGCUUCCACUUCAAUUGGUGUAGGUGCCACAGGAACAACUUCCUGUGCCCUGCUACACACUUGUUGAAGUGACGGUUCAAUAACCUCAUCAAGUCUCCACCAUCCUCCCACUCAAUUCUUUCGAGAGAAACCUUUCCUCGAGAAAGGACCCGAUUCUAGAAACAAUUCAUAUUGCUUUCGGAUCUGAAUUAGGAGGUAUACCCAACUGUUUUGGGUUUACUAUGAAGAUGCAUUUUAUCCGCUUUGGGUUCGAGCUUAAUCCUGAAACUUUUUCACAUAAGCGUCGCAGCCCCAAACUUUCAAGAAACGGCAACUUAGGUUUCUCCAAACCAUAGUUCAUACGGUGUCGUCUCAACGAAAUUAUGUGGUGCCCUAUUUAAAGUGAAUGUGGUUGUCUUUAAUGCCUAACCCAUGAACGAUAGUGGUAACUCGAUAAGAGACAUCAUGGUAUGCACCAUAUCCAAUAGGGUGCAACUAUGACGUUUGGACACACCAUCACACUAUGGUGUUCCAGGCUGUAUCAGUUGUGAAACAAUUUCCACAAUGUCUUAAUUAUGUGCCAAACUCGUGAUUCAGAUAUUCAUCUCUAUGAUCAUAUCAUAGAUCUUUUAUCCUCUUGUCACGACGAUCUUUCAACUUCACACUGAAAUUACUUGAACCUUUCAAUAAUUCAGACUCGUGAUUCAUCAAGUAAAUAUACUCAACAUCUACUCGAAUCAUCUGUGAAGUAAGAACAUAACGAUAUUCACUGUAUGCCUCAGCACUCAUUGGACUGCACACAUCAAAAUGUGUUACUUCCAAUAAGUUGCUAUCUUGUUCCAUCUUACUGAAAACGAGGCUUUUCAGUCAUCUUGCCCAUGUGGUAUGAUUUGCAUGUCCCAAGUGAUUCAAAAUCAAGUGAGUCCAAACGAUCCAUCUGCAUGGAGUUUCUUCAUGCGUAUACACCAAUAGACAUGGUUCGCAUGUCUCAAACUUUUCAAAAAUGAGUGAGUCCAAAGAUCCAUCAACAUGGAGCUUCUUCAUGCGUUUUAAACCAAUAUGACUUACAUGGCAGUGCCACCAGUAAGUGGUACUAUCAUUACUACCUUUUGGCAUGAAAAUGUGUAUCACUACGAUCGAGAUUCAAUCAACCAUUCAGGUUUAAUGCUAAUCUUGAUGGUAGAGGGAGUGUGCGAUGUUUGAUUACAUCAAACUUGGAAACACUUCCAACAUAUAUCGUCAGCUCACUUUUAGCUAGUCUCCAUUUAUUCCGUAGCCUUUUGUUUCGAGUUACUAACACUUAGCAACCGAACCGGUAUCUAAUACCCUGGUGCUACUAGGAGUACUAGCAAAGUACACAUUAACACAAUGUAUAUCCAAUAUACUUCUAUCGACCUUGCCAGCCUUCUUAUCUACCAAGUAUCUAGGGUAAUUCUGCUCUAGUGGUUGUUCCCCUUAUUACAGAAGCACUUAGUCUCAGGUUUGGGUUUUACCUUGGGUUUCUUCACUAGAGCAGCAGCUGAUUUGCCGUUUCAUGAAGUAUCCCUUCUUGCCCUUGCCCUUCUUGAAACUAGUGGUUUCACCAACCAUCAACAAUUGAUGCUCCUUCUUGAUUUCUACUUUCGCGGUGUCAAACAUCGCGAAUACCUCAAGGAUCAUCAUAUCUAUCCCCGAUAUGUUAUAGUUCAUCACGAAGCUCUAACAGCUUGGUGGCAAUGACUUUGGAGAACCAUCACUGUCUUAUCUGGAAGAUCAACUCCCACUCGAUUCAAAUGAUUGUUGUACUCAGACAAUCUGAGCACAAGCUCAACGAUUGAGCUUUUCUCCCUUAGUUUGCAGGCUAAGAAAAUCGUCGGAGGUCUUAUACCUCUUGACAUGGGCACGAGCCUAAAAUCCCAAUUUCAGCCCUCGAAACAUCUCAUAUGUUUCGCGAUGUUUCAAAAACAUCUUUGGUGCCUCAACUCUAAACCGUUUAACUGAACUAUCAUGUAGUUAUCAAAACGUGUAUGUCAGAUGUUCGCAACAACCACAGACAACGUUCGAGGUUCAGCACACUGAGCGGUGCAUUAAGGACAUAAGCCUUCUAUGAAGCAAUGAGGACAAUCCUCAGUUUACGGACCUAGUCCGCAUAAUUGCUACUAUCAACUUUCAACUAAUUUUUCUCUAGGAACAUAUCUAAACAGUAGAACUAUAACAUGAGCUACGACAUAAUUUGCAAAAACCUUUUGACUAUGUUCAGGAUAAUUAAGUUCAUCUUAUGAACUCCCACUCAGAUAGACAUCCCUCUAGUCAUCUAAGUGAUUACAUGAUCCGAGUCAAACUAGGCCGUGUCCGAUCAUCACGUGAGACGGACUAGUCAUCAUCGGUGAACAUCUUCAUGUUGAUCGUAUCUUCUAUACGACUCAUGUUCGACCUUUCGGUCUUCGUGUUCCGAGGCCAUGUCUGUACAUGCUAGGCUCGUCAAGUUAACCCUAAGUGUUUUGCAUGUGUUCCGAGGCCAUGUCUGUACAUGCUAGGCUCGUCAACAACCGUUGUAUUUGAACGUCUGAAUAAAACACCCGAUCAUCACGUGAUGUUUUGAAACAGCGAACUGUCGCAACGGUGCACAGUUAGGGGAGAACACUUCUUGAAAUUGUUGUAAGGGAUCAUCUUAUUUACUACCGUCGUUCUAAGCAAAUAAGAUGUAUAAACAUGAUAAACAUCACAUGCAAUCAAAUAGUGACAUGAUAUGGCCAUCAUCACUUUGCUCCUUUUGAUCUCCAUCUUCGGGGCUCCAUGAUCAUCAUCGUCACCGGCAUGACACCAUGAUCUCCAUCAUCAUGAUCUCCAUCAUCGUGUCUUCAUGAAGUUGCCUCGCCAACUAUUACUUCUACUACUAUGGCUAACGGUUAGCAAUAAAGUAAAGUAAUUACAUGACGUUUAAGUUGACACGCAGGUCACAAAUAAAUAAAGACAACUCCUAUGGCUCCUGCCGGUUGUAUACUCAUCGACAUGCAAGUCGUGAUUCCUAUUACAAGAACAUGAUCAAUCUCAUACAUCACAUAUAUCAUUCAUCACAUCCUUUUGGCCAUAUCACAUCACAUAGCAUACCCUGCAAAAACAAGUUAGACGUCCUCUAAUUGUUGUUUGCAUGUUUUACGUGGCUGCUAUGGGUUUCUAGCAAGAACGUUUCUUACCUACGCAUGAACCACAACGUGAUAUGCCAAUUGCUAUUUACCCUUCAUAAGGACCCUUUUCAUCGAAUCCGAUCCGACUAAAGUGGGAGAGACAGACACCCGCCAGCCACCUUAUGCAACUAGUGCAUGUUUGUCGGUGGAACCGGUCUCACGUAAGCGUACGUGUAAGGUUGGUCCGGGCCGCUUCAUCCCACGAUGCCGCCGAAUCAAGAUAAGACUAGUAACGGCAAGCAUAUUGAACAAUAUCGACGCCCACAACUACUUUGUGUUCUACUCAUGCAAAGAAUCUACGCAAUAGACCUAGCUCAUGAUGCCACUGUUGGGGAACGUAGCAGAAAUUCAAAAAAAUUCCUACGUAACACCAAGAUCUAUCUAUGGAGAGACCAGCAACGAGUAGAAAGGGGAGUGCAUCUACAUACCCUUGUAGAUCGCUAAGCGGAAGCGUUCAAGUGAACGGGGUUGAUGGAGUCGUACUCGUCGUGAUUCAGAUCACCGAUGAUCCUAGUGCCGAACGGACAGCACCUCCGCGUUCAACACACGUACAGCUCGACGAUGUCUCCCACGCCUUGAUCCAGCAAGGAGAGAGGGAGAGGUUGAGGAAGACUCCAUCCAGCAGCAGCACAACGGCGUGGUGGUGAUGGAGGAGCGUGGCAAUCCUGCAGGGCUUCGCCAAGCACCUACGGGAGAGGAGGAGGUGUCACGGGAGGGAGGGAGGCGCCAAGGGCUCAGGUAUGGAUGCCCUUAACUUCGUACCUUACAACUCAGGCAAGAACUCCUUUUUUGACUGAUCCAUCUUGAACACCUUCAAGAUCACGUCAAGGCAUGUGCUCAUUUGAAAGUACCAUUAAGCGUUUUGAUCUAUCCUUAUAGAUCUUGAUGCUCAAUGUUCAAGUAGCUUAAUCCAGGUUUUCCAUUGAAAACACUUUCCAAAUAACCCUAUAUGCUUUCCAGAAAUUCUACGUCAUUUCUGAUCAUUAAUAUGUCAACAACAUAUACUCAUCAGAAAUUCUAUAGUGCUCCCACUCACUUCUUUGGAAAUACAAGUUUCUCAUAAACUUUGUAUACACCCUAAAUCUUUGAUCAUCAUCAAAGCAUACAUUCCAACUCCGAGAUGCUCACUCCAGUCCUCAGAAGGAUUGCUGGAGCUUUGCAUACUUAUUAGCAUAUUUCAGGAUAGACAAAACCUUCCGGUUGUAUCACAUACAACCUUUCCUCAAGAAUCGUCGAGGAAACAAUGUUUUGACAUCCUAUCUGCAAGAUUUCAUAAAUAAUGCAGUAAUUGCUAAUAUAAUUCCAACAUACUCUUAGCAUCGCUACGAGUGAGAAAGUCUCAUCGUAGUCAACUCCUUGAACUUGUCGAAAAACAUCUCAACGACAAGUCGACCUUUCUCAAUGGUGACACUUACCAUCAUUGUCUGUCUUCCUUUCAAAAUCCAUAUGUACCUAACAGCCUUAUGACCAUCAAGUAGUUCUUCCAAAGUCUACACUUUGUUUUCAUACAUGGAUCCUCUCUCGGGUUUUAUGGCCUUGAGCCAUUUAUCGGAAUCCAGGCCCACCAUCGCUUCUCCAUAGCUCGUAGGUUCAUUGUUGUCUAGCAACAUGACUUCCAAGACAGGAUUACUGUACCACUCUGAAGUAGUACGUAUCCUUGUCACCCUACGAGGUUUGGGAGUGACUUGAUCUGAAGUUUCAUGAUCACUAUCAUAAGCUUCUACUUCAAUUGGUGUAGGUGCCACAGGAACAACUUCCUGUGCCCUGCUACACACUGGUUGAAGUGAUGGUUCAGUAACCUCAUCAAGUCUCCACCAUCCUCCCACUCAAUUCUUUCGAGAGAAACCUUUCCUCGAGAAAGGACCCAAUUCUAGAAACAAUUCAUAUUGCCUUCGGAUCUGAAUUAGGAGGUAUACCCAACUGUUUUGGGUGUCCUAUGAAGAUGUACUUUAUCCGCUUUGGGUUCGAGCUUAAUCCUGAAACUUUUUCACAUAAGCGUCGCAGCCCCAAACCUUUAAGAAAUGACAACUUAGGUUUCUCUAAACCAUAAUUCAUACGGUGUCAUCUCAUCGGAAUUACGUGGUGCCCUAUUUAAAGUGAAUGUGGUUGUCUUUAAUGCCUAACCCAUAAACUAUCCUGGCAGUUCGAUAAGAGACAUCAUGGUAUGCAUCAUAUCCAAUAGGGUGCAACUAUGAUGUUCGGACACACCAUCACACUAUGGUGUUCCAGGCGGUAUUAAUUGUGAAACAAUUUCCACAAUGUCUUAAUUGUGUGCCAAAACUCGUAACUCAGAUACUCAUCUCUAUGAUCAUAUCAUAGACAUUUUAUCCUCUUGUCACAAUCUUCUACUUCACUCUGAAAUUACUUGAACCAUUCAAUAAUUCAGACUUGUGUUUCAUCAAGUAAAUAUUCUCAACAUCUACUCGAAUCAUCUGUGAAGUAAGAACAUAACGAUAUUCACUGCAUGCCUCAGCACUCAUUGGACUGCACGCAUCAAAAUGUGUUGCUUCCAACAAGUUGCUAUCUUGUUACAUCUUACUGAAAACGAGGCUUUUCAGUCAUCUUGCCCAUGUGGUAUGAUUUGCAUGUCCCAAGUGAUUCAAAAUCAAGUGAGUCAAAACGGUCCAUUUGCAUGGAGUUUCUUCAUGCAUAUACACCAAUAGACAUGGUUCGCAUGUCUCAAACUUUUCAAAAACGAGUGAGCCCAAAGAUCCAUCAAUAUGGAGCUUCUUCAUGCGUUUUAUACCGAUAUGACUUACGUGGCAGUGCCACAAGUAGGUGGUUCUAUCAUUACUAUCUUUUGGCAUGAACAUGUGUAUCACUACGAUCGAGAUUUAAUAAACCAUUCAUUUUAGGUGUAAGACCAUUGAAGGUAUUAUUCAAAUAAACAGAGUAACGAUUAUUCUCCUUAAAUGAAUAACCGUAUUGCGAUAGACGUAAUCCAAUCAUGUCUAUGCUCAACGCAAACACCAAACAACAAUUAUUUAGGUUUAACACCAAUCUCUUUGGUAGAGGGAGCGUGCGAUGCUUGAUCAUAUGAAGCUUGGAAAAACUUCCAACACAUAUCGUCAGCUCACCUUUAGCUAGUCUCCGUUUAUUCCGUAGCCUUUUGUUUCGAGUUACUAACACUUAGCAACCGAACCGGUAUCUAAUACCCUGGUGCUACUAGGAGUACUAGCAAAGUACACAUUAACACAAUGUAUAUCCAAUAUACUUCUAUCGACCUUGCCAGCCUUCUUAUCUACCAAGUAUCUAGGGUAAUUCUGCUCUAGUGGUUGUUCCCCUUAUUACAGAAGCACUUAGUCUCGGGUUUGGGUUUUACCUUGGGUUUCUUCACUAGAGCAGCAACUGAUUUGCCGUUUCAUGAAGUAUCCCUUCUUGCCCUUGCCCUUCUUGAAACUAGUGGUUCCACCAACCAUCAACAAUUGAUGCUCCUUCUUGAUUUCUACUUUCGCGGUGUCAAACAUCGCGAAUACCUCAAGGAUCAUCAUAUCUAUCCCUGAUAUGUUAUAGUUCAUCACGAAGCUCUAACAGCUUGGUGGCAAUGACUUUGGAGAACCAUCACUGUCUUAUCUGGAAGAUCAACUCCCACUCGAUUCAAAUGAUUGUUGUACUCAGACAAUCUGAGCACAAGCUCAACAAUUGAGCUUUUCUCCUUAGUUCGCAGGUUAAGAAAGUCAUCGGAGGUCUUAUACCUCUUGACAUGGGCACGAGCCUGAAAUACCAAUUUCAGCCCUCAAAACAUCUCAUAUGUUUCGCGAUGUUUCAAAAACGUCUUUGGUGCCUCAACUCUAAACCGUUUAACUGAACUAUCACGUAGUUAUCAAAACGUGUAUGUCAGAUGUUCGCAACAACCACAGACAACGUUCGAGGUUCAGCACACUGAGCGGUGCAUUAAGGACAUAAGCCUUCUAUGAAGCAAUGAGGACAAUCCUCAGUUUACGGACCUAGUCCGCAUAAUUGCUACUAUCAACUUUCAACUAAUUUUUCUCUAGGAACAUAUCUAAACAGUAGAACUAUAGCGUGAGCUACGACAUAAUUUGCAAAAACCUUUUGACUAUGUUCAGGAUAAUUAAGUUCAUCUUAUGAACUCCCACUUAGAUAGACAUCCCUCUAGUCAUCUAAGUGAUUACAUGAUCUGAGUCAAACUAGGCCGUGUCCGAUCAUCACGUGAGACAGACUAGUCAUCAUCGGUGAACAUCUUCAUGUUGAUCGUAUCUUCUAUACGACUCAUGUUCGACCUUUCGGUCUCCGUGUUCCGAGGCCAUGUCUGUACAUGCUAGGCUCGUCAAGUUAACCCUAAGUGUUUCGCGUGUGUAAAUCUGUCUUACACCCGUUGUAUGUGAACGUUAGAAUCUAACACCCGAUCAUCACGUGGUGCUUCGAAACACGAACUGUCGCAACGGUGCACAGUUAGGGGAGAACACUUCUUGAAAUUGUUGUAAGGGAUCAUCUUAUUUACUACCGUCGUUCUAAGCAAAUAAGAUGUAUAAACAUGAUAAACAUCACAUGCAAUCAAAUAGUGACAUGAUAUGGCCAUCAUCACUUUGCUCCUUUUGAUCUCCAUCUUCGGGGCUCCAUGAUCAUCAUCGUCACCGGCAUGACACCAUGAUCUCCAUCAUCAUGAUCUCCAUCAUUGUGUCUUCAUGAAGUUGCCUCGCCAACUAUUACUUCUACUACUAUGGCUAACGGUUAGCAAUAAAGUAAAGUAAUUACAUGACGUUUAAGUUGACACGCAGGUCACAAAUAAAUAAAGACAACUCCUAUGGCUCCUGCCGGUUGUCAUACUCAUCGACAUGCAAGUCGUGAUUCCUAUUACAAGAACAUGAUCAAUCUCAUACAUCACAUAUAUCAUUCAUCACAUCCUUUUUGGCCAUAUCACAUCACAUAGCAUACCCUGCAAAAACAAGUUAGACGUCCUCUAAUUGUUGUUUGCAUGUUUUACGUGGCUGCUAUGGGUUUCUAGCAAGAACGUUUCUUACCUACGCAUGAACCACAACGUGAUAUGCCAAUUUCUAUUUACCCUUCAUAAGGACCCUUUUCAUCGAAUCCGAUCCGACUAAAGUGGGAGAGACAAACACCCGCCAGCCACCUUAUGCAACUAGUGCAUGUUUGUCGGUGGAACCGGUCUCACGUAAGCGUACGUGUAAGGUUGGUCCGAGCCGCUUCAUCCCACGAUGCCGCCGAAUCAAGAUAAGACUAGUAACGGCAAGCAUAUUGAACAAUAUCGACGCCCACAACUACUUUGUGUUCUACUCGUGCAAAGAAUCUACGCAAUAGACCUAGCUCAUGAUGCCACUGUUGGGGAACGUAGCAGAAAUUCAAAAUUUUCCUAUGCGUCACCAAGAUCUAUCUAUGGAGAAACCAGCAACGAGUAGAAAGAGAGUGCAUCUACAUACCCUUGUAGAUCGCUAAGCGGAAGCGUUCAAGUGAACGGGGUUGAUGGAGUCGUACUCGUCGUGAUUCAGAUCACCGAUGAUCCUAGUGCCGAACGGACGGCACCUCCGCGUUCAACACACGUACAGCUCGACGAUGUCUCCCACGCCUUGAUCCAGCAAGGAGAGAGGGAGAGGUUGAGGAAGACUCCAUCCAGCAGCAGCACAACGGCGUGGUGGUGAUGGAGGAGCGUGGCAAUCCUGCAGGGCUUCGCCAAGCACCUACGGGAGAGGAGGAGGUGUCACGGGAGGGAGGGAGGCGCCAAGGGCUCAGGUAUGGAUGCCCUCCCUCCCCUCCACUAUAUAUAGGGGCAGGGGAGAGGGGGAAGGCGCAGCCUUGCCCCUUCCUCCAAGGAANNNNNNNNNNAGACGUCCUCUAAUUGUUGUUUGCAUGUUUUACGUGGCUGCUAUGGGUUUCUAGCAAGAACGUUUCUUACCUACGCAUGAACCACAACGUGAUAUGCCAAUUUCUAUUUACCCUUCAUAAGGACCCUUUUCAUCGAAUCCGAUCCGACUAAAGUGGGAGAGACAGACACCCGCCAGCCACCUUAUGCAACUAGUGCAUGUUUGUCGGUGGAACCGGUCUCACGUAAGCGUACGUGUAAGGUUGGUCCGGGCCGCUUCAUCCCACGAUGCCGCCGAAUCAAGAUAAGACUAGUAACGGCAAGCAUAUUGAACAAUAUCGACGCCCACAACUACUUUGUGUUCUACUCGUGCAAAGAAUCUACGCAAUAGACCUAGCUCAUGAUGCCACUGUUGGGGAACGUAGCAGAAAUUCAAAAAAUUUCCUACGUAUCACCAAGAUCUAUCUAUGGAGAGACCAGCAACGAGUAGAAAGGAGAGUGCAUCUACAUACCCUUCUAGAUCGCUAAGCGGAAGCGUUCAAGUGAACGGGGUUGAUGGAGUCGUACUCGUCGUGAUUCAGAUCACCGAUGAUCCUAGUGCCGAACGGACGGCACCUCCGCGUUCAACACACGUACAGCUCGACGAUGUCUCCCACGCCUUGAUCCAGCAAUGAGAGAGGGAGAGGUUGAGGAAGACUCCAUCCAGCAGCAGCACAACGGCGUGGUAGUGAUGGAGGAGCGUGGCAAUCCUGCAGGGCUUCGCCGAGCACCUACGGGAGAGGAGAUGUGUCACGGGAGGGAGAGGGAGGCAACCAAAGGCCUUAGGUAUGAUUGCUCCUCCUUUUCCCCACUAUAUAUAGGGCCAAGGGAGAGGGGGAGGGCGCAGCCUUGCCCCCUCCUCCAAGGAAGGGGUGCGGCUAAGGAUGGGGAGGAGUCCAUCCUCCCCAAGGCACCUCGGAGGUGCCUUCCCCUUUGAGGACUCUUCCCUCCCCAAGUUUCCUUGCGCAUGGGCCUCUUGGGGCUGGUUCCCUUGGCCCAUGUAGGCCAAGGCGCACCCCCUACAGCCCAUGUGGCCCCCGGGGCAGGUGGCCCCACCCGGUGGGCCCCCGGGACCCUUCCAGUGGUCCCGGUACAAUACCGAUGACCCCGAAACUUGUCCCGAUGGCCGAAACAGGACUUCCUAUAUAUAAAUCUUUACCUCCGGACCAUUCCGGAACUCCUCGUGACGUCCGGGAUCUCAUCCGGGACUCCGAACAACAUUCGGUAACCACAUACAAACUUCCUUUAUAACCCUAGCGUCAUCGAACCUUAAGUGUGUAGACCCUACGGGUUCGGGAGACAUGUAGUCAUGACCGAGAUGUUCUUCGGUCAAUAACCAACAGCGGGAUCUGGAUACCCAUGUUGGCUCCCACAUGUUCCACGAUGAUCUCAUCGGAUGAACCACGAUGUCAAGGACUCAAUCGAUCCCGUAUACAAUUCCCUUUGUCUAGCGGUAUGGUACUUGCCCGAGAUUCGAUCGUCGGUAUACCGAUACCUUGUUCAAUCUCGUUACCGGCAAGUCUCUUUACUNNNNNNNNNNUGGAGUCGUACUCGUCGUGAUUCAGAUCACCGAUGAUCCUAGUGCCGAACGGACGGCACCUCCGCGUUCAACACACGUACAGCUCGACGAUGUCUCCCACGCCUUGAUCCAGCAAGGAGAGAGGGAGAGGUUGAGGAAGACUCCAUCCAGCAGCAGCACAACGGCGUGGUGGUGAUGGAGGAGCGUGGCAAUCCUGCAGGGCUUCGCCAAGCACCUACGGGAGAGGAGGAGGUGUCACGGGAGGGAGGGAGGCGCCAAGGGCUCAGGUAUGGAUGCCCUCCCUCCCCUCCACUAUAUAUAGGGGCAGGGGAGAGGGGGAAGGCGCAGCCUUGCCCCUUCCUCCAAGGAAGGGGUGCGGCUAAGAGGGGGGGAGGAGUCCAUCCUCCCCAAGGCACCUCGGAGGUGCCUUCCCCCUUGAGGACUCUUCCCUCUAGGGUUCCCUAGGCGCAUGGGCCUCUUGGGGCUGGUGCCCUUGGCCCAUGUAGGCCAAGGCGCACCCCCUACAGCCCAUGUGGCCCCCUGGGGCAGGUGGCCCCACCCGGUGGGCCCCCGGGACCCUUCCGGUGGUCCCGGUACAAUACCGAUGACCCCGAAACUUGUCCCGAUGGCCGAAACAGGACUUCCUAUAUAUAAAUCUUUACCUCCGGACCAUUCCGGAACUCCUCGUGACGUCCGGGAUCUCAUCCGGGACUCCAAACAACAUUCGGUAACCACAUACAAACUUCCUUUAUAACCCUAGCAUCAUCGAACCUUAAGUGUGUAGACCCUACGGGUUCGGGAGACAUGUAGUCAUGACCGAGAUGUUCUCCGGUCAAUAACCAACAGCGGGAUGUGGAUACCCAUGUUGGCUCCCACAUGUUCCACGAUGAUCUCAUCGGAUGAACCACGAUGUCAAGGACUCAAUCAAUCCCGUAUACAAUUCCCUUUGUCUAGCGGUAUGGUACUUGCCCGAGAUUCGAUCGUCGGUAUACCGAUACCUUGUUCAAUCUCGUUACCGGCAAGUCUCUUUACUCGUUCCGUAACACAUCAUCCCGUGAUCAACCCCUUGGUCACAUUGUGCACAUUAUGAUGAUGUCCUACCGAGUGGGCCCAGAGAUACCUCUCCGUUUACACGGAGUGACAAAAUCCCAAUCUCGAUUCGUGCCAACCCAACAGACACUUUCAGAGAUACCCGCAGUGUACCUUUAUAGCCACCCAGUUACGUUGUGACGUUUGGCACACCCAAAGCACUCCUACGGUAUCCGGGAGUUGCACAAUCUCAUGGUCUAAGGAAAUGAUACUUGACAUUAGAAAAGCUUUAGCAUACGAACUACAUGAUCUUGUGCUAGGCUUAGGAUUGGGUCUUGUCCAUCACAUCAUUCUCCUAAUGAUGUGAUCCCGUUAUCAACGACAUCCAAUGUCCAUGGUCAGGAAACCGUAACCAUCUAUUGAUUAACGAGCUAGUCAACUAGAGGCUUACUAGGGACAUGGUGUUGUCUAUGUAUCCACACAUGUAUCUGAGUUUCCUAUCAAUACAAUUCUAGCAUGGAUAAUAAACGAUUAUCAUGAACAAGGAAAUAUAAUAAUAAUCAAUUUAUUAUUGCCUCUAGGGCAUAUUUCCAACAGACGGCACCUCCGCGUUCAACACACGUACAGCCCGGUGACAUCUCCCACGCCUUGAUCCAGCAAGGAGAGAGGGAGAGGUUAAGGAAGACUCCAUCCAACAGCAGCACAACGGCGUGGUGGUGGUGGAGGAGCGUGGCAAUCCAGCAGGGCUUCGCCAAGCACCAUGGGAGAGGAGGAGUAGGAAGAGAGGUAGGGCUGUGCCAGAACUUCGUGUAUAGCUCCCAUGCGCCUCCCCACUAUAUAUAGGGGUGGAAGGGCUGGUUUCUUGCCCUCCAAGUCCAUUGGGGCGUUGGCCAAGGUGGGAGGAAAGAAAUCUCAUUAUUUCCUUCCCCACCGAUUGUUAUCCCCCCUUUUUAGGGAUCUUGAUCUUAUCCCUUCGGGAUAUGAUCUUAUUCCUUCUAAGGGGGGAUCUUGGUGCGCCUUGACCAGGGGUGUGGGGCCUUGCCCCCACUACCCACGUCCAUGUGGGUCCCCCCAUGCAGGUGGGCCCCACUCCGGAACCUUCUAGAACCUUCCCGGUACAAUACCGAAAAAUCCCGAACAUUUUCCGGUGGCCAAAAUAGGACUUCCCAUAUAUAAAUCUUUACCUUCGGACCAUUCCGGAACUCCUUGUGACGUCCGGGAUCUCAUCCGGGACUCCGAACAACAUUCGGUAACCACAUACAAACUUCCUUUAUAACCCUAGCGUCAUCGAACCUUAAGUGUGUAGACCCUACGGGUUCGGGAGACAUGUAGACAUGACCGAGACGUUCUCCGGUCAAUAACCAACAGCGGGAUCUGGAUACCCAUGAUGUCUCCCACAUGUUCCACUAUGAUCUCAUCGGAUGAACCACGAUGUCAAGGACUUAAUCAAUCCCGUAUUCAAUUCCCUUUGUCUAUCGGUAUGUUACUUGCCCGAGAUUCGAUCGUCGGUAUCCAAUACCUUGUUCAAUCUCGUUACCGGCAAGUCACUUUACUCGUUCCGUAACACAUCAUCCCUGAUCAACUCCUUGGUCACAUUGCGCAUAUGAUGAUGUCCUACCGAGUGGGCCCAGAGAUACCUCUCCGUUUACAUGGAGUGACAAAUCCCAGUCUCGAUCCGCAUAAAACAAUAGAUACUUUCGGAGAUACCUGUAGUGCACCUUUAUAGUCACCCAGUUACGUUGUGACGUUUGAUACACCCAAAGCACUCCUACGGUAUCCAGGAGUUACACGCUCUCAUGGUCGAAGGAAGAGAUACUUGACAUUGGCAAAGCUCUAGCAAAUGAACUACACGAUCUUUUGUGCUAGUCUUAGGAUUGGGUCUUGUCCAUCACAUCAUUCUCCUAAUGAUGUGAUCCCGUUAUCAACGACAUCCAAUGUCCAUAGCCAGGAAACCAUGACUAUCUGUUGAUCACAACGAGCUAGUCAACUAGAGGCUCACUAGGGACAUAUUGUGGUCUAUGUAUUCACACGUGUAUUACGAUUUCCGGAUAAUACAGUUAUAGCAUGAAUAAAAGACAAUUAUCAUGAACAAGGAAAUAUAAUAACAAUACUUUUAUUAUUGCCUCUAGGGCAUAUUUCCAACAAUGUCAACAUUUCAUCUGCCGGGUUCUGAAAUUGGAUAACUACAUCAACCUAGUAAAUGUUGCCUCUUCAAUACCAGGAAUGGUGUUGUGUCCUACUCUUUUCAAAGUGCUUUGAAGUCUAUUAUCAUUAGUGAUCGUAGUCUUGUGCACUUCCUUCUUUUUCCUAUCAUCAGUGGAAGGAAAACUAAGUAUAACAAGCAGAGAAAGGUUUCAUAUUUCUGUACUCUAAGCUGACAUGCGUACACUAAAUGGCAUUCACUAAAAGAUCAAUUUCAAAAUGUGAAAAUAGCAUGCUUGGAUGAUAAUCAGUAUGCAUAGCUAGCACGCUUCAAAUUUGGCAUUUCUACACAGGGUAUAAGCAAUGGUUCACAAGGCCCACAAAUUACUGAUUAUGAGGAAAUAUUUCAGGUCUGAGACAAACUAUUUACACAGGUAAAAUGAAUACAUGUAGAACAUAUAAUGUGUUGAAAGCGGGAAAUGCUACUGCUUGUAGCAAAACCAAUGACACUACCUAUGGAUGACAGGGUACCAUAGAAAGCACAUGUGCACGCUGCCCUUGCCUCCGGCACAGGGCACCGGCCAUCUUCUUCAGCUUGUCAAUACUCAUAUUACAAUAGUCAUCCAAUCUCCUAUAUGAACCAACAAAUUAGUUUUGCCUCCAUAACAAAACUUUCUAAAGUGUCUAAUGUUUCUCUUCCUCUUAAUCUUCAGUUCUAUAAAAAGCUCAUCUAUCAAUCUACAGCAAAACAGAGGGAAAAGGACAAUUGCAUGAUCAGAUCCAUAACGAAACUUGUUGACCUGCGCCUAAUGUUUCUCUUCCUCUUAAUCUUUAGUUGUACACAAAGUGCAUCGCCCAAUAUACAAAAAAUAGGAAAAAAAGACAAUUGAAUGAUCAGAUAAGAAUGCAGUUACAUGGGACCAACAUAAAUCCUUUGUUCUAAUGGGCUGAAAACAAUAACAGAUAAAGUACAAGUCGACCAAAAUGUGAAAUCUAUCAAAAGAGCAAAUGAGAUUAUAUAGUACACUGAAACACAACGUACCAACUCAAAUUUAUGAGUGUUUAUGCACAUAGAGCAUAUUGUUGCCCACUAUAGAGAAUGAAAACAAAGAUGUACACCAAGACAUUAAAGAGUUAAAUAGAAAUAAUAUACUGUCAAAAUGAUCCUGCAAAAUCAGUAUACAAAUUCUAGAAUUAAUCACAUAGAUACUAUAUUAGUGUUGAUCCUAAUUUGCAUUACAACUAACAUGUCAAGUACAGGUAGAGGAAAUAAUGUCCUGCUGAUAGGUUCUGUG
Molecule: long non-coding RNA, 29359 nt
Filed under: Triticum aestivum (bread wheat)
Lineage: Eukaryota; Viridiplantae; Streptophyta; Magnoliopsida; Poales; Poaceae
Description: long non-coding RNA (TAES_LNC007649)
Rfam family: MIR1120/MIR1122 microRNA precursor family (bases 956-1074)
Source: RNAcentral